This 253-nucleotide ribosomal RNA is filed under the name uncultured bacterium. Its description in RNAcentral is "partial 16S ribosomal RNA". It matches the Rfam family "Bacterial small subunit ribosomal RNA", at positions 524 to 776 of the family's 1533-position model. The record is from RNAcentral.
GACAGAGGGUGCAAACGUUGUUCGGAUUUACUGGGCGUAAAGCGCGUGUAGGCGGCUUGGCAAGUCGGAUGUGAAAGCCCACGGCUCAACCGUGGAAGCGCAUCCGAAACUGCUUCGCUCGAGUCUCGGAGAGGAAGGUGGAAUGCUUGGUGUAGAGGUGAAAUUCGUAGAUAUCAAGCAGAACACCUGCGGCGAAGGCGGCCUUCUGGACGAUGACUGACGCUGAGACGCGAAAGCGUGGGGAGCGAACAGG